GUCCAUUUUGACAGGGUGCUGAUUGGUGUGUUUACAAUCCCUGAGCUAGACACAAAAGUUCUCCAAGUCCCCACUAGAUUAGCUAGGCACAGAGCACUGAUUGGUGCAUUUACAAACCUUGAGCUAGACACAGGGUGCUGAUUGGUGUAUUUACAAUCCCUUAGCUAGACAAAGGUUCUCCAAGUCCCCACUAGACUCAGGAGCUCAGCUGGCUUCACCUAGUGGAUCCUGCACAGGGGCCACAGGCGGAACUGCCCACCAGUCCAGCACUCAGUGAAUCCGCACUCCUCAGACCUUGGGCCAUCGAUGGGACGGGGCACCACGGAGCAGGGGGCGGCUUGGACUGUGCAGGAGCCCCAGGUGCGGGGGAGGCUCGGGCAUGGCGGGCUGCAGGUCCCAAGCCCUGCCCCUCCGGAGGCAGCAGGGGCCCGGGGAGAACUGGAGCGCGGCGCUGGUGGGCAGGCACUGCUGGGGGACCUGGCGCACCCUCCGCAGCUGCUGGCCGGGGUGCUAAGCCCCUCAGUGCCCCGGGCCUGCGGAGCCAGCCUGGCCACUCUGAGCUUGGGGCCCGUCGAGCCCACGCCCACCUGGAGUGCCUGCCACCCUGCCCGGCUAAUUUUUUGUAUUUUUUAGUAGAGACGGGGUUUCACCGUGUUAGCCAGCAUGGUCUCAAUCUCCUGACCUCAUGAUCCACCCGCUUCGGCCUCUCAAAGUGCCGGGAUUACAGGCGUGAGCCACCAUGCCCAGCCAGCAUUUUCUGUAUCUUAAGAAGUAUGGAAUUGUACACUUCUUUGAGGCAGAUAUGCCUUUGUUCUGAAAAAAACAAAAAUUGCCCCAAGUGUUCUGAACAAGGGGACAGGCAAUCAU
Molecule: long non-coding RNA, 867 nt
Filed under: Homo sapiens (human)
Lineage: Eukaryota; Metazoa; Chordata; Mammalia; Primates; Hominidae
Description: non-protein coding lnc-MOSPD1-1:2
Source: RNAcentral